Molecule: long non-coding RNA, 670 nt
Organism: Rhodamnia argentea
Lineage: Eukaryota; Viridiplantae; Streptophyta; Magnoliopsida; Myrtales; Myrtaceae
Exons: 2
Source: RefSeq, a predicted model, not a curated record
UCAAGGUCAGUUGCCUUUAUACCAUUGGCUCGACAGAGCACAUACUGGUCGGGUCUCUCUUUUUAAGUCCUAGGUCAGUGAAGUAAGCUAAGAGGAGGGUUGGUUGUGACUUGAACUAGGUCCUUAGGUGCUUUGCCCCUUAAACUCGGAAGCCACGGCAGCAUCUUGUACUGGCCACGAGUUACCCAAGUAGUGUCCAAUCAUAUUAGUAAUCCAUGAAGGCCAUCUCUCGUCGUGACUGUACUGAGUGAAGGUGAGCCAAGGGGUUGGUUAGAUGUCAAUUUCCUGAGUUGCGGCUCACUUUCCGACUUUGUUGUUUCAUUAGAAGUUCAUGCUUGACGUACUUGCAAUGUUGCUGCGUAGAAGCAGAGAAUGUCAGGAAAGGAUAAAUACAAGCUUGACGGUGUUAAGACUCUGGACACACAUUAGAGCUUAACAGGCUUUCAACAGCAAAGUCCUACUCGGAAAGCAGAUACAAGUACAUAAGCAAAUGCAGGAUGCCGUUUUAUGCAGAAUCAAAAUAAGAGAGCAAAUUAACGCGUAGUUAAACGGGGUCGUGUUCUGGUUCUUUAUCAAUGAUGCAAAACGCUGAAUAGGUUUGUGAAAAUGUGUUGAAGAUAGAAGAUGCAAAUUCAUAAUGAUUUAGCACACAACAUAAUCUCCAAUUAAA